This 45-nucleotide non-coding RNA is filed under the name Echinostoma caproni. The record is from RNAcentral. Lineage: Eukaryota; Metazoa; Platyhelminthes; Trematoda; Plagiorchiida; Echinostomatidae.
GCACUGCUGACGAGUUCAAAACGGGACGAAAUAGCUGUCCAGUGC